GGGUUUUUGAUGGAGGGUUUGAUCCUGGCUCAGGACGAACGCUGGCGGCGUGCUUAACACAUGCAAGUCGAACGGUAAGGCUCCAGCUUGCUGGGGUACACGAGUGGCGAACGGGUGAGUAACACGUGGGUGACCUGCCCUGCACUUCGGGAUAAGCCUGGGAAACUGGGUCUAAUACCGGAUAGGACCGCACCGUGAGGGUGUGGUGGAAAGUUUUUUCGGUGUGGGAUGGGCCCGCGGCCUAUCAGCUUGUUGGUGGGGUAAUGGCCUACCAAGGCGGCGACGGGUAGCCGGCCUGAGAGGGUGGACGGCCACAUUGGGACUGAGACACGGCCCAGACUCCUACGGGAGGCAGCAGUGGGGAAUAUUGCACAAUGGGCGGAAGCCUGAUGCAGCGACGCCGCGUGGGGGAUGACGGCCUUCGGGUUGUAAACUCCUUUCACCAUCGACGAAGGGUUUCUGACGGUAGAUGGAGAAGAAGCACCGGCUAACUACGUGCCAGCAGCCGCGGUAAUACGUAGGGUGCGAGCGUUGUCCGGAAUUACUGGGCGUAAAGAGCUCGUAGGUGGUUUGUCGCGUCGUCUGUGAAAUUCCGGGGCUUAACUCCGGGCGUGCAGGCGAUACGGGCAUAACUUGAGUACUGUAGGGGAGACUGGAAUUCCUGGUGUAGCGGUGAAAUGCGCAGAUAUCAGGAGGAACACCGGUGGCGAAGGCGGGUCUCUGGGCAGUAACUGACGCUGAGGAGCGAAAGCAUGGGGAGCGAACAGGAUUAGAUACCCUGGUAGUCCAUGCCGUAAACGGUGGGCGCUAGGUGUGGGUUUCCUUCCACGGGAUCCGUGCCGUAGCUAACGCAUUAAGCGCCCCGCCUGGGGAGUACGGCCGCAAGGCUAAAACUCAAAGGAAUUGACGGGGGCCCGCACAAGCGGCGGAGCAUGUGGAUUAAUUCGAUGCAACGCGAAGAACCUUACCUGGGCUUGACAUAUACAGGAUCGCGCCAGAGAUGGUGUUUCCCUUGUGGCUUGUAUACAGGUGGUGCAUGGUUGUCGUCAGCUCGUGUCGUGAGAUGUUGGGUUAAGUCCCGCAACGAGCGCAACCCUUGUCUUAUGUUGCCAGCACGUUGUGGUGGGGACUCGUAAGAAACUGCCGGGGUUAACUCGGAGGAAGGUGGGGAUGACGUCAAAUCAUCAUGCCCCUUAUGUCCAGGGCUUCACACAUGCUACAAUGGUCGGUACAGUGGGUUGCCAGUCCGUGAGGGCGAGCUAAUCCCGCAAAGCCGGUCUCAGUUCGGAUCGGGGUCUGCAACUCGACCCCGUGAAGUCGGAGUCGCUAGUAAUCGCAGAUCAGCAACGCUGCGGUGAAUACGUUCCCGGGCCUUGUACACACCGCCCGUCACGUCAUGAAAGUCGGUAACACCCGAAGCCAGUGGCCUAACACAUUUU
Molecule: ribosomal RNA, 1439 nt
Filed under: Corynebacterium sp. LK30
Lineage: Bacteria; Bacillati; Actinomycetota; Actinomycetes; Mycobacteriales; Corynebacteriaceae
Also listed under: 1 other name
Description: partial 16S ribosomal RNA
Rfam family: Bacterial small subunit ribosomal RNA
Source: RNAcentral